UGGGGAAUAUUGCACAAUGGGCGCAAGCCUGAUGCAGCCAUGCCGCGGGUGUGAAGAAGGCCUUCGGGUUGUAAAGUACUUUCAGCGGGGAGGAAGGCGUUAAGGUUAAUAACCUUGGCGAUUGACGUUACCCGCAGAAGAAGCACCGGCUAACUCCGUGCCAGCAGCCGCGGUAAUACGGAGGGUGCAAGCGUUAAUCGGAAUUACUGGGCGUAAAGCGCACGCAGGCUGUCUGUCAAGUCGGAUGUGAAAUCCCCGGGCUCAACCUGGGAACUGCAUUCGAAACUGGCAGGCUAGAGUCUUGUAGAGGGGGGUAGAAUUCCAGGUGUAGCGGUGAAAUGCGUAGAGAUCUGGAGGAAUACCGGUGGCGAAGGCGGCCCCCUGGACAAAGACUGACGCUCAGGUGCGAAAGCGUGGAGAGCAAACAGG
This 429-nucleotide ribosomal RNA is filed under the name Chloroflexota bacterium. RNAcentral describes it as "Chloroflexi bacterium partial 16S ribosomal RNA". It matches the Rfam family "Bacterial small subunit ribosomal RNA", at positions 355 to 776 of the family's 1533-position model. Lineage: Bacteria; Bacillati; Chloroflexota. The record is from RNAcentral.